Orcinus orca (killer whale) is the source of this 2709-nucleotide long non-coding RNA. RefSeq lists it as uncharacterized. NCBI's taxonomy places the organism in Eukaryota, Metazoa, Chordata, Mammalia, Artiodactyla, Delphinidae. The transcript is spliced from 3 exons. The record is from RefSeq and is a predicted model, not a curated record.
AAAAAAAAGGAGAAAAGAAAAGGUCAUUCUAGGCACAACUCCAAACCUAAAAUCUAUAACAGAAAAUACUCAUAAAUUUGACUAUGUACACAUUUUAAAUUUUAUAGAGAAAAACAUACCACAAGCAAUGUCCAAAGAUAAACAACAGGGCUUCCCUGGUGGCGCAGUGGUUGAGAGUCUGCCUGCCGAUGCAGGGGACACGGGUUCGUGCCCCGGUUCAGGAAGAUCCCACAUCCCGCGGAGUGGCUGGGCCCGUGAGCCAUGGCCGCUGAGCCUGCACGUCCGGAGCCUGUGCUCCGCAAUGGGAGAGACCACAGCAGUGAGAGGCCUGCGUACCGCAAAAAAAAAAAAAAAAAAGAUAAACAACAAACCUGAGAAAAAUGUUUGUAACACAUAUCAGAAAAUGAGCUUAUUUCUUUAACAUUUAAAGAACUCUUAGAAAUCAGUAUGAAGAAGAUAAACACUCCAAUAAAAUAUGGGUAGACAUGGAUCAUCAAUUCCCAGAACCUAAAUACAAGGAGAUUCACUGCAGCCUUGUUUAUAAUAGCCAAAUCCUAGAAAUAAAAGUUCUUCAAUGACAUGACUUAUUAACUAAAUAUGAUAACAGCUGUUAAAAAGAAUGAAGUAGAGAUACAUAUAUUGAUAUGGAAAGAUGUUCACAUGUCCAAAAUAAUAGUUUUAAGUUAAAGAUACCCAGCAGGUUGCAUAACAGUGUUUACUAUAAUCCCAUUUGUAUAUAUAUCAAUCUGGAAGGAUAUACAAGUUAAUGGUUAACUCUGGGGAUUAGGACUGGAAUUUAAAAGGAUAAUUUUAGUUCUGUGUUGUUUGAAUUUACAUUAUAUUAUUUUUUAAAUAAUCUUAAACAUGACUUAAAUAAAUAAAUAUGAAGGCAAAUUUUGGUAAAGCCUCAAACUGUGUAAUGAAAAUGGAACAGAAGAACAGAUACAUCACGCAUUGAGAAAGAAUAAUCCACAAGGCUUAGUCCUGAAUUGGUAUAGGGUGACGGAAUUGUAUCCUUGCGUCCUGGGUCUCAUAUUCUUUAACCAUCUGUGUCAAUCUGGGAAGCAGGCACUCAGCCAGAGUUGGGCGUGCAAGAAGUGUAUUGAGGAGUAAGGGCUGUGAAAGGUCGAUGGGGAGGGAGCCAGACUGGGGAGGGAGCCUUCAGACUGUGGUGCUAUUCUGACACCUAGAGAAGGCAAAGAAGUGAAGAAGGACUAGGCAGGGAGAGACUCCAAACUCAUGCAGGUCAGACAGAGCCAAUCCAACGUGAGCUCUAGAGCAAAUACGCCUAUUACAGGAGACUUGUUUUAGGCAGAGAUGGCCAGACCCUCUGACCUCAACCAUGCUCAGCAGUUGGCUGGGGGCUGCCAGAGGAGCAUGGCCUCGCCUUCUGCACUGUUGAAGAUCUCAAAGGUCCAGCAGCUGGGGGCUCUUAGUUCCAGGACUCCUUGCAUCAGAGCAGCAAGUUAUUUCUUAAAGGGAGAGCAGGUCAACACUUCCUUAGCUGCCAGAGUCCAGAUCCACUUCAUAUAUGUUCAAAGAGUAUCUCUUCCGGGUUGCCAGUGGGCCUCUCUUUGGGAGAGGAAAUUUAGAAGAAUGACACACUACAGCCCCUGUUGCUGCAUUUGGUCUCAGGGCUGCAAGUGAUACUCACACUCUCCCUCCUCUCCUAUCUGUCCCAAAUUCCCCUUGCCCUCAGCUCUCACCUCUACUGGUCUCAAUGACUUAUCUGGUGACGUUACCCAAAUCCUCAUUCCUGAGGUAUCUGAGCCUCUGAUAACCAUCCCUUUCUCAGGCCCUUGUCUGUUCACUAUCAAAACUGGGCAGGGAAGUACCAGAAUGGGGAUGCUAUUGGCCGCAGGGGUAGGAUAAUUUCUCACUGUGCGGGAGUCACAUAGCACACACCCCGCCUCCCUCUCACCCCGCAACCACCAUCAUUGUGAAAUCCAAAACAUGCACACACAUUUCCAUAUGUCUCUGGCCAAGAUCUGUAAAACUCAAAAAGUUUGUAAACUUACAAACCCAAAGCCUUUUCUCUCCAGAUCGUUGUCUAUAAAAUACCUUUGAAAAACAAAAAAUCAACUUUACUGCUUGCAGCCACCCUCCUUCAGGCAAUGUGCAUCUCCCAAAUUGCCUAAAUGAGAUGUGUAUCUGUGACAAGGAGGUGUGGGUGAAAAACAAACUGUUUAAUACUUGAAAAGGUUUGAAGUGAAAAAAAUUUUUUUAAAUCAUCUUUAAUGCUCUCCAUUUUCCAGUAAAGCUGAGGUCAGGCCAUCUGCCAACUGAAGGUGGGGAAGGAACUGUGGAGACUGGAGGAGAGGAAAGAAGAUGUGAAAUACUCAUCUCAGAGUGGGGAAGAAUGCUUCUUAGAUGGAGCCCGUCAGCUCAGCUGUGUGAUUUUCUCCAGCGGUUGUUCAGCAUCCUAGCAUCCUCAAGUUCACCCCAUGGUCCAGGAUGGCCGCCAUCACAUCCAUGUGCCAGGAGGCAUCUAAAGGCAGGGAGAAAAGGCAAAAUGUUGUACCUUCUAGGAGUGACAACGGAGCCCAAUUAUGCAGAGUUUCUUUUAAUAAUGGAGCAGAAUGUGACUACUUUUCAGAGGCACAGCCAGCCAGCAGCCACUGUCACCUUUUCUAUCCAACAAAAGGAGAAAUUCAUCCACUCCUGCAUCUGUCCAGACAGCCACUCAGCAUCUACUGAACUAUGUACCAG